This 354-nucleotide ribosomal RNA is filed under the name Clostridioides difficile. Its description in RNAcentral is "bacterial SSU rRNA". It matches the Rfam family "Bacterial small subunit ribosomal RNA", at positions 1035 to 1390 of the family's 1533-position model. Lineage: Bacteria; Bacillati; Bacillota; Clostridia; Peptostreptococcales; Peptostreptococcaceae. The record is from RNAcentral.
CAGGUGGUGCAUGGUUGUCGUCAGCUCGUGUCGUGAGAUGUUGGGUUAAGUCCCGCAACGAGCGCAACCCUUGUCUUUAGUUGCCAUCAUUAAGUUGGGCACUCUAGAGAGACUGCCAGGGAUAACCUGGAGGAAGGUGGGGAGGACGUCAAAUCAUCAUGCCCCUUAUGCUUAGGGCUACACACGUGCUACAAUGGGUAGUACAGAGGGUUGCCAAGCCGUAAGGCGGAGCUAAUCCCUUAAAGCUACUCUCAGUUCGGAUUGUAGGCUGAAACUCGCCUACAUGAAGCUGGAGUUACUAGUAAUCGCAGAUCAGAAUGCUGCGGUGAAUGCGUUCCCGGGUCUUGUACACAC